RNAcentral lists this long non-coding RNA (1305 nucleotides) under Coturnix japonica (Japanese quail). Its description in RNAcentral is "lncRNA (ENSCJPG00005003688.1)". Lineage: Eukaryota; Metazoa; Chordata; Aves; Galliformes; Phasianidae. The record is from RNAcentral.
GUGAUGGGAAUUAAAGAACCCCAGGAACACUUGCCCUUAGCAGGGAGGGAGAGAAAAGCUGACCUGUGUGUGGUAAUCAGGCUUCCUGGGGAAGAAGGCAGCCUAAUGAAACCAGCAGUUAAUGACCGAAGUUGAAGAACUAAAACCAGCCCACUGCUCCACAGAGGAACUUAAUUUUCUCACUGGCCAUCCUAUGCUGAGUGUUUUCUUGAAGUACUGGUUGAUGCACAGGACUGGCCACGGGACCGAGGACUAUCACAAACUGAGGAUCAUCUCCUGUUGGGAGGCAUCAGCGUGGUGAUGGUCAUAGCUUUGCUCAGACCCAAUGCACUGAGGAUGAUUUCCAACACUGAUUAAGGCCUUUUUGCUGCCAUAUCAGCCAGAAAAUCCCUCCCAGGGGCAGAGUUGUGCCACAGCCACCUUCCUCCAAGGGCAUGGAGGAUGUUAACAGAAAUGAGGAGUGACCUACAAAGCCCAGCACCGUGAUGGAAGGACUUGGUGAUGUCUUCAGAUGUGCAAGUGAGGACAGCAGGUGGGAGCUUUCUAAGCCAGACAAAGGAGACCUGACAAGAAACUGCAGUGAAAGGACAAACCCAAGGCAAAGGAAUGUCCGGUCACCUCCUUCCCUGGAGCAGGCAGCUGAGAUCUGCAUAGACAGGAAGCAUUUUGCAAGACUCAACACCUGGAGCAGUGCUAACCAGGUCUCACUGCCUCAGGUAGAACUCCAUUUGCAGAGCAUUCCUGCUCCAGGUGGGCAGCCCUGAUGUCGGCCAAGCUCUACGUGCUCAUCAGCUGGCCUGAUGGCAGCCGCGUCAUCAGCAUGGAGAACAUCAAGGAGCCCCGCAAGCCCUUCCAUCUCUAUGCUGUGGGUGAGCAGGUGCUGGCCCGCUGCCCCGGCUUCAGUGGGCUUUACUGGGGUAUUGUGGAAGGCAUAAGUGGUGAGUGACACCCCUCCAGUUUGGGAGCUCACAAUUUGGGGCUGCCUGGGAGCAGCCCUAAGAGAAGAAUUUUGAUGCUAAAAUGUCCUCUCUUGCUACAGAGCAUAAAGAUGCUUUGGAGAAGAAGCUGCUGGAAGACAGACAACUCCUGGAGAAGUUAAGUGAGUUAUGUCUUUGCUUUGGACCCUUUAAUAUGGUAGGAUGAGGGUUUUGGUGAGAAAAUAAUUGAAGAUUGCACCUUUCUGCCUUCAAUGGUAUUUCUGGGUGGGAGGCUGCUGAGUGUUCCAGCACAGCCCUGAUAUCAAGGUAAACAGCAGCACAUGGGAGCAGGGAGAUGCACAGCAAGGAUACCCUAUUAAACGGCUUG